RNAcentral lists this ribosomal RNA (465 nucleotides) under uncultured bacterium. RNAcentral describes it as "bacterial SSU rRNA". It matches the Rfam family "Bacterial small subunit ribosomal RNA", at positions 328 to 792 of the family's 1533-position model. The record is from RNAcentral.
GUGCCAGACUCCUACGGGAGGCAGCAGUGGGGAAUAUUGCACAAUGGGGGAAACCCUGAUGCAGCGACGCCGCGUGAGUGAAGAAGUAUUUCGGUAUGUAAAGCUCUAUCAGCGGGGAAGAAAUAGCGACCUUUGGGUCGCCAGACGGUACCUGACCAAGAAGCCCCGGCUAACUACGUGCCAGCAGCCGCGGUAAUACGUAGGGGGCAAGCGUUAUCCGGAAUUACUGGGUGUAAAGGGAGCGUAGACGGUUAAGUAAGUCUAGAGUGAAAGGCCGGGGCCCAACCCCGGGACUGCUCUGGAAACUAUUCAACUUGAGUGCAGGAGAGGUAAGCGGAAUUCCUAGUGUAGCGGUGAAAUGCGUAGAUAUUAGGAGGAACACCAGUGGCGAAGGCGGCUUACUGGACUGUAACUGACGUUGAGGCUCGAAAGCGUGGGGAGCAAACAGGAUUAGAUACCCUUGUA